CCUACGGGUGGCAGCAGUGGGGGAUAUUGCACAAUGGGGGCAACCCUGAUGCAGCGACGCCGCGUGUGGGAAGACGGUCCUCUGGAUUGUAAACCUCUUUUCCCAGGGACGAAGAUGACGGUACCUGGGGAGGAAGCUCCGGCUAACUACGUGCCAGCAGCCGCGGUAAUACGUAGGGAGCGAGCGUUGUCCGGAAUUACUGGGUGUAAAGGGAGCGUAGGCGGAGAUGCAAGUUGGGUGUCAAAACUACCGGCUCAACUGGUAGUCGCACUCAAAACUGCAGCUCUUGAGUGAAGUAGAGGCGGGCGGAAUUCCUAGUGUAGCGGUGAAAUGCGUAGAUAUUAGGAGGAACACCAGUGGCGAAGGCGGCAUGCUGGGCUUUUACUGACGCUGAGGCACGAAAGUGUGGGGAGCAAACAGGAUUAGAUACCCCUGUAGUC
RNAcentral lists this ribosomal RNA (440 nucleotides) under uncultured bacterium. RNAcentral's name for it is "partial 16S ribosomal RNA". It matches the Rfam family "Bacterial small subunit ribosomal RNA", at positions 338 to 795 of the family's 1533-position model. The record is from RNAcentral.